AAAUAAUAAACAAAAGCAGAACAUAGAAGUAUGUAGAGUGAAUUAAUAU
This 49-nucleotide non-coding RNA is filed under the name Trypanosoma brucei brucei. The record is from RNAcentral. Lineage: Eukaryota; Euglenozoa; Kinetoplastea; Trypanosomatida; Trypanosomatidae.